UACUGUAGCGAAAUUAAUGCUUCUGAUUCCUCAGUGUCUAUAGGUUAGAGAACAGCAAUUUAGCCAAGAUUCGCACUGCUGACGUCUUGCUAUGUCACGUGAGAGAAAUGGAGCAAAUAAAUUGAACCCAAGUAUCAUUUCUCCUUUGACUGAAUACCAUGUGAGCAGUCACUGCCUGUGAUCACACAUGAAGAAUACCACUUCGGGUUGUGUUGAGUCACUACAUUCAAGAGGAAUCAAGAGAAAUUUAGGGCUGAAGCUGAAAAAAAAUCAUCCGUUAAUGUCAGCAGCCUCUCAGCAAACUACAUGUGUGCUAAGGAAGAAUUUCUUCUCUCAGAAGGACUGAAAAUCUGGAAGGCAAGAGACUGGAGAACAGAAGAUCUUUGGAAUAAAAAUGAACACUUCAUUGAAGCUUGUAGACUAUGCUAAUAAACCGUGUUUUCCCAGGAUGAGGGCGUCGCUGGCUAGGCAGCAUUUAUUGUCCAUCCCCAAUUGGCCAGAGGGCAGUGAAGAGUCAACCACAUUGCUGUGGGUCUGGAGUCAUAUGUAGGCCAGACCAGGAAAUGAAGAGGAAUAGACUACGAACUGUCACUAAAUAAGCUUACUCUUUGCCUUGGAAAGGUUCUCUUCUCACUUCGACCUCGACAUCUAAUGGUGUGAAAAUCAGUCUCCGAAGGGGAACUGGAUGCCAUCUGCUGGGCUCGCUUCAUCUCCAGGGUCUCAAACUGUUCAAUAACCUGUGACCUCCUAUAAAGAAACAUGGGAAGUCUAAUCACAUGAAAAACGCACAAUAAGCAGUCAGUUGCCUUCAUAAUUUAAGUGAUAAAAGCAGUACAACUUCCAAAUCAUUCAACAUAUCUACGGUGACAUCAUAACAUGUGACAUUUUAAUUUUUCAGGAAGGGAAAAUAUUGGGAAGAUAACAAUACUGGAUAGCUCCACCUGUGUUGCCAAUAUUAAAGGAAACCUAUUUUCUUUUCAAGAUCCAAUGUAACUAAAAUCUACAUAGCAAAUCUACAUAAACCAUUAGUCAGAGUUCUGCCGCAUACAGUUUAGUAUCUCACUAAUGGUCAACUAUUAUGCUAGUGUUUUACUUAAAAUCAUUCACUUUGGAGGAUUGAACAAAUGUUUUUAGAAUGUGAAUUUGUUUUGUGCAUCAUCACACAGAGUCAAUGUAUUUAACAUGAAAAAAUGAAAUAAACUGUGCACCAGGGGCAGCAC
Molecule: long non-coding RNA, 1220 nt
Organism: Stegostoma tigrinum
Lineage: Eukaryota; Metazoa; Chordata; Chondrichthyes; Orectolobiformes; Stegostomatidae
Exons: 4
Source: RefSeq, a predicted model, not a curated record